RNAcentral lists this ribosomal RNA (497 nucleotides) under uncultured bacterium. RNAcentral describes it as "partial 16S ribosomal RNA". It matches the Rfam family "Bacterial small subunit ribosomal RNA", at positions 28 to 507 of the family's 1533-position model. The record is from RNAcentral.
GAUGAACGCUGGCGGCGUGCCUAAUACAUGCAAGUCGAGCGAACGGACGAGAAGCUUGCUUCUCUGAUGUUAGCGGCGGACGGGUGAGUAACACGUGGAUAACCUACCUAUAAGACUGGGAUAACUUCGGGAAACCGGAGCUAAUACCGGAUGAUAUUUUGAACCGCAUGGUUCAAAAGUGAAAGACGGUCUUGCUGUCACUUAUAGAUGGAUCCGCGCUGCAUUAGCUAGUUGGUAAGGUAACGGCUUACCAAGGCAACGAUGCAUAGCCGACCUGAGAGGGUGAUCGGCCACACUGGAACUGAGACACGGUACAGACUCCUAAGAGAGGCAGCAGUAGGGAAUCUUCCGCAAUGGGCGAAAGCCUGACGGAGCAACGCCGCGUGAGUGAUGAAGGUCUUCGGAUCGUAAAACUCUGUUAGUAGGGAAGAACAUAUGUGUAAGUAACUGUGCACAUCUUGACGGUACCUAAUCAGAAAGCCACGGCUAACUACGUG